UCUAUUCUUCGUCAACUGUGCAGGUGGGUGGCAAUUGCUUAGUUAUAAUUUCAAAAGUUUAAGCUUUUGUUGUGCUAGUCGAAAAAGGAUACAAUUUUCGUUGGCUGUUGCUUUGCAAGAUGCUAAAUUGGUUGCGGUUGUUUAUUUUGGCUUUAAAUUUAUGCUAAUACAAUAAUCAUAUUUGUUGAAUUGAUGCUUUCUUAAAAAAUUAAAGCACGGUCAUUAAUGUACAUCGAUCCUCCACUUUUCAGAAAAUUACAAAGGCCUGAGGAUUACCUUUCAGUUCCUCGUCCUUGCUCUCUAGUUUAUGUCUGGGAAAAGUUAUGAUUCUGCCUUUUUCUUAAUGUAGAUAUGAAGAAUCGGAAAAGAG
This 370-nucleotide unclassified non-coding RNA is filed under the name Hevea brasiliensis (rubber tree). The record is from RNAcentral. Lineage: Eukaryota; Viridiplantae; Streptophyta; Magnoliopsida; Malpighiales; Euphorbiaceae.